This is a long non-coding RNA of Hemicordylus capensis (graceful crag lizard), 691 nucleotides long. RefSeq lists it as uncharacterized. The record is from RefSeq and is a predicted model, not a curated record. Lineage: Eukaryota; Metazoa; Chordata; Lepidosauria; Squamata; Cordylidae. The transcript has 4 exons.
AUAGGGAGGAGGAGCCUGUGAUGAUUAAGGUCAGUUGGACUGCAACUGUUAUUGGUUGGAAGAUGUGCUUGAUGGUAGAGGAGAGAAGAAUCUAUCUCUCUAUAUAAAAGGACAGUGGGCAGCAGUCUGUGAAGAGAGGGGUCAUGAAGGAGGAAAGAGCCUCUUCAGGAGAAGGAGGCUGCCACUGAGCCCAGAGCGGUGACCAGGAGGAGUGAUGUAGGAGUGACCAGGAGGAGUGAGUGGGUUGGAAGCAAUGCAGUGGAGGAAGAGGAGCAAGAGCAUGGCACAGUUUGUGGUUAUAUCUGAACAAGCAAACCAUGAAUUGCACUUGCCUUCAAAAUCAGAAAAAUGGGUUGAUUACCUGAAACCAAUGAUCUGGUAGUGAUCCACUGAAGUCAUAAAAAUGGGUUCUGUGAGUGCUGGACCAUUCAGGCAGAAUUGACUAGCUCCUUGAAGCGCUUAGCCCCAGCCCCUGCACAUGGUGCGUCUCUUCAGUUUGGGCAGGCUGUUUUCACCGCAGUUCCUAGAGGACUGACAUUGAAAUCCCAACAUCGUAUUGCAAUAGAGUAAAACUUCACAAGGAAAGAUCAUUCUGAGGAGCUGUGUAUCCAAGGUACCAGCACAAUGGCAGUCCGAAAGGAACUAAGGUUAAAACGCUACCCCACCCAAACUGAAGAGAAGCACCAUGUGC